CCCAUAGCUCCUUCGACGGCGCCGCCUAGGAACGCGGAGAAAAUAUGACAAAGGAACGGCCAAAAAUAAAAAGAAAGACCUUUCUUUUGAAAAAACAAACAAAAAAAAGAAAUGCAACACGAGGACUUCCCAGGAGGUCACCCAUCCUAGUACUACUCUCGCCCAAGCACGCUUAACUUCGGAGUUCUGAUGGGAUCCGGUGCUUUAGUGCUGGUAUGAUCGCAUCCGACAUACCGUGCGUUCUCCUCCCCUUUAUGCCCGCGCCUCCGUGUACGGCCCGCCCAUAGCUCCUUCGACGGCGCCGCCUAGGAACGCGGAGAAAAUAUGACAAAGGAACGGCCAAAAAUAAAAAGAAAGACCUUUCUUUGAAAAAACAAACAAUUCACAGGAAUGCAACACGAGGACUUCCCACGAGGUCACCCAUCCUAGUACUACUCUCGCCCAAGCACGCUUAACUUCGGAGUUCUGAUGGGAUCCGGUGCUUUAGUGCUGGUAUGAUCGCAUCCGACAUACCGUGCGUUCUCCUCCCCUUUAUGCCCGCGCCUCCGUGUACGGCCCGCCCAUAGCUCCUUCGACGGCGCCGCCUAGGAACGCGGAGAAAAUAUGACAAAGGAACGGCCAAAAAUAAAAAGAAAGACCUUUCUUUUGAAAAAACAAACCAAAAAAAAGGAAUGCAACACGAGGACUUCCCAAGAGGUCACCCAUCCUAGUACUACUCUCGCCCAAGCACGCUUAACUUCGGAGUUCUGAUGGGAUCCGGUGCUUUAGUGCUGGUAUGAUCGCAUCCGACAUACCGUGCGUUCUCCUCCCCAUUAUGCCCGCGCCUCCGUGUACGGCCCGCCCAUAGCUCCUUUGACGGCGCCGCUUAGGAACGCGGAGAAAAUAUGACAAAGGAACGGCCAAAAAUAAAAAGAAAGACCUUUCUUUUGAAAAAACAAACAAAUAAAAGGAAUGCAACACGAGGACUUCCCAGGAGGUCACCCAUCCUAGUACUACUCUCGCCCAAGCACGCUUAACUUCGGAGUUCUGAUGGGAUCCGGUGCUUUAGUGCUGGUAUGAUCGCAUCCGACAUACCGUGCGUUCUCCUCCCCUUUAUGCCCGCGCCUCCGUGUACGGCCCGCCCAUAGCUCCUUCGACGGCGCCGCCUAGGAACGCGGAGAAAAUAUGACAAAGGAACGGCCAAAAACAAAAAGAAAGACCUUUCUUUUGAAAAAACAAACAAAAAAAAGGAAUGCAACACGAGGACUUCCCAGGAGGUCACCCAUCCUAGUACUACUCUCGCCCAAGCACGCUUAACUUCGGAGUUCUGAUGGGAUCCGGUGCUUUAGUGCUGGUAUGAUCGCAUCCGACAUACCGUGCGUUCUCCUCCCCUUUAUGCCCGCGCCUCCGUGUACGGCCCGCCCAUAGCUCCUUCGACGGCGCCGCCUAGGAACGCGGAGAAAAUAUGACAAAGGAACGGCCAAAAAUAAAAAGAAAGACCUUUCUUUUGAAAAAACAAACAAAUAAAAGGAAUGCAACACGAGGACUUCCCAGGAGGUCACCCAUCCUAGUACUACUCUCGCCCAAGCACGCUUAACUUCGGAGUUCUGAUGGGAUCCGGUGCUUUAGUGCUGGUAUGAUCGCAUCCGACAUACCGUGCGUUCUCCUCCCCUUUAUGCCCGCGCCUCCGUGUACGGCCCGCCCAUAGCUCCUUCGACGGCGCCGCCUAGGAACGCGGAGAAAAUAUGACAAAGGAACGGCCAAAAAUAAAAAGAAAGACCUUUCUUUUGAAAAAACAAACAAAUAAAAGGAAUGCAACACGAGGACUUCCCAGGAGAUCACCCAUCCUAGUACUACUCUCGCCCAAGCACGCUUAACUUCGGAGUUCUGAUGGGAUCCGGUGCUUUAGUGCUGGUAUGAUCGCAUCCGACAUACCGUGCGUUCUCCUCCCCUUUAUGCCCGCGCCUCCGUGUACGGCCCGCCCAUAGCUCCUUCGACGGCGCCGCCUAGGAACGCGGAGAAAAUAUGACAAAGGAACGGCCAAAAAUAAAAAGAAAGACCUUUCUUUUGAAAAAACAAACAAAAAAAAGGAAUGCAACACGAGGACUUCCCACGAGGUCACCCAUCCUAGUACUACUCUAGUACCAAGCACGCUUAACUUCGGAGUUCUGAUGGGAUCCGGUGCUUUAGUGCUGGUAUGAUCGCAUCCGACAUACCGUGCGUUCUCCUCCCCUUUAUGCCCGCGCCUCCGUGUACGGCCCGCCCAU
Molecule: long non-coding RNA, 2246 nt
Filed under: Sorghum bicolor (sorghum)
Lineage: Eukaryota; Viridiplantae; Streptophyta; Magnoliopsida; Poales; Poaceae
Description: long non-coding RNA (SBIC_LNC015499)
Source: RNAcentral